This 562-nucleotide ribosomal RNA is filed under the name uncultured Rhodocyclaceae bacterium. Its description in RNAcentral is "bacterial SSU rRNA". It matches the Rfam family "Bacterial small subunit ribosomal RNA", at positions 97 to 655 of the family's 1533-position model. Lineage: Bacteria; Pseudomonadati; Pseudomonadota; Betaproteobacteria; Rhodocyclales; Rhodocyclaceae. The record is from RNAcentral.
GGCGAACGGGUGAGUAAUGCAUCGGAACAUACCCAGUCGUGGGGGAUAACGUAGCGAAAGUUACGCUAAUACCGCAUACGUCCUGAGGGAGAAAGCGGGGGAUCGCAAGACCUCGCGCGAUUGGAGUGGCCGAUGUCAGAUUAGCUAGUUGGUGGGGUAAAGGCCCACCAAGGCGACGAUCUGUAGCGGGUCUGAGAGGAUGAUCCGCCACACUGGGACUGAGACACGGCCCAGACUCCUACGGGAGGCAGCAGUGGGGAAUUUUGGACAAUGGGGGAAACCCUGAUCCAGCCAUGCCGCGUGCGGGAAGAAGGCCUUCGGGUUGUAAACCGCUUUCAGCCGGAAAGAAAUCGCACGGACUAAUACUCUGUGUGGAUGACGGUACCGGAAGAAGAAGCACCGGCUAACUACGUGCCAGCAGCCGCGGUAAUACGUAGGGUGCGAGCGUUAAUCGGAAUUACUGGGCGUAAAGCGUGCGCAGGCGGUUUCUUAAGCCAGACGUGAAAUCCCCGGGCUUAACCUGGGAACUGCGUUUGGAACUGGGAGACUAGAGUGUGUCAGA